Molecule: ribosomal RNA, 291 nt
Filed under: Salmonella enterica subsp. enterica serovar Mbandaka
Lineage: Bacteria; Pseudomonadati; Pseudomonadota; Gammaproteobacteria; Enterobacterales; Enterobacteriaceae
Also listed under: 1 other name
Description: partial 16S ribosomal RNA
Rfam family: Bacterial small subunit ribosomal RNA
Source: RNAcentral
UAGACCGCCUGGGGAGUACGGCCGCAAGGUUAAAACUCAAAUGAAUUGACGGGGGCCCGCACAAGCGGUGGAGCAUGUGGUUUAAUUCGAUGCAACGCGAAGAACCUUACCUGGUCUUGACAUCCACAGAAUUCUGCAGAGAUGCGGAAGUGCCUUCGGGAACUGUGAGACAGGUGCUGCAUGGCUGUCGUCAGCUCGUGUUGUGAAAUGUUGGGUUAAGUCCCGCAACGAGCGCAACCCUUAUCCUUUGUUGCCAGCGAUUAGGUCGGGAACUCAAAGGAGACUGCCAGU